This 1084-nucleotide long non-coding RNA is filed under the name Triticum aestivum (bread wheat). RNAcentral describes it as "long non-coding RNA (TAES_LNC024350)". Lineage: Eukaryota; Viridiplantae; Streptophyta; Magnoliopsida; Poales; Poaceae. The record is from RNAcentral.
UGAAGAAACUUACAUGCAUCAUUCCCAAAGCUGAAUCAGGCUCUAUGUAAAUGAGCAAUUGAUGUCACUAAUGAACGAGUUCUGAUCCAGCUAGACCACUAUACACUCUGUUUUACAAAACCAAUGAUGUCUCUUUAGAUGUAGGUUAACUCCAGUCAAUUUGUUGUAUUUAUGGGCCGUGUGGGGACAAUAGCAUAUAAACUGGGCGUUCCAGCACGGGUUCAUAUUCACAAUCUUUUUCAUGCGAGUCUUUUGAAGCGCUUCCAUGUUGAUCCACCAGAUGCGCCACCAGCAUUAGCGUUGAUUUAUCACGUUCAGAUAAUCCUGAGGCAAAUGAAGUCUUGGGGCACAGUAGCAAGUGGUGUUCAGAAUUUUUGGUACAAUAGAAAGAAAAGAUCCAGGAUUUUCAGCUCAAAGACGAGCUGCUUGAGGAGGCGGGGAGUAAUGUCGUAUGCGCAAAAAUAGUUCCAGAUAUACACAUUUGCAAGCAAACUCCAAAAGUGGAAUAGGUUCCAAUUGAGUUACCUGCUAUCUUCUUCCAGUGGUUCUGAACAUUUUUCAUACACUUUUGCUCAUCCAAAUGGCCUACAUGAAAUUCGCUAGACAAUUUUCUUCUGCAGAAGUGUGAAUCAUCAUGUCAUGUAUUAGAAAAUAGCAUGAUGUCCAAAACAGCCAGGAGGACCUAGAUACAUGGAGAAGUGAAUGAGAAGUUGCAGUGCGAACUUGAAUGGCAUUCACAAAACAGACAAACAUGGCCCACUCAACAUCUGUUUUAAAUUCAGCAAGAAUUUAUUACAGCACUAUGCAAUUAGCUAAUACCCCGUCCGUCCCAUAAUAUAAGAUCUUAUUACAUCCAAUAUACUCACAUAUUGGAUGUAAUAAGAUCUUAUAUUAUGGGACGGAGGGGGUACUAAUUAUGCAUAAAUGUAUAAUCAACAUUGUUUUUCAAUAACCCAAAGAAUUAUGGACUAUAAGUUUAAAUGGAACUAAAUGGAUUAGGAGCAUAAUACGGCAUCCAAGGGAGGGAGAUACCUUUGCCAAUAUUAGCAACAUCACCUCGGAUAAUAAGAGGACUUUUGCCGCC